AGUGAACGCUGGCGGUAGGCCUAACACAUGCAAGUCGAACGGCAGCACAGUAAGAGCUUGCUCUUACGGGUGGCGAGUGGCGGACGGGUGAGGAAUACAUCGGAAUCUACUUUUUCGUGGGGGAUAACGUAGGGAAACUUACGCUAAUACCGCAUACGACCUACGGGUGAAAGCAGUGGAUCUUCGGACCUUGCGCGUUUGAAUGAGCCGAUGUCGGAUUAGCUAGUUGGCGGGGUAAAGGCCCACCAAGGCGACGAUCCGUAGCUGGUCUGAGAGGAUGAUCAGCGACACUGGAACUGAGACACGGUCCAGACUCCUACGGGAGGCAGCAGUGGGGAAUAUUGGACAAUGGGCGCAAGCCUGAUCCAGCCAUACCGCGUGGGUGAAGAAGGCCUUCGGGUUGUAAAGCCCUUUUGUUGGGAAAGAAAAGCAGCAGGUUAAUACCCCGCUGUUCUGACGGUACCCAAAGAAUAAGCACCGGCUAACUUCGUG
Molecule: ribosomal RNA, 492 nt
Filed under: uncultured bacterium
Lineage: Bacteria
Description: partial 16S ribosomal RNA
Rfam family: Bacterial small subunit ribosomal RNA
Source: RNAcentral